Molecule: ribosomal RNA, 424 nt
Filed under: Verrucomicrobiota bacterium
Lineage: Bacteria; Pseudomonadati; Verrucomicrobiota
Description: Verrucomicrobia bacterium partial 16S ribosomal RNA
Rfam family: Bacterial small subunit ribosomal RNA
Source: RNAcentral
UGAAGAAUAUUGGUCAAUGGACGGAAGUCUGAACCAGCCAAGUAGCGUGCAGGAUGACGGCCCUAUGGGUUGUAAACUGCUUUUGUAUGGGGAUAAAGUUAGGGACGUGUCCCUAUUUGCAGGUACCAUACGAAUAAGGACCGGCUAAUUCCGUGCCAGCAGCCGCGGUAAUACGGAAGGUCCAGGCGUUAUCCGGAUUUAUUGGGUUUAAAGGGAGCGUAGGCUGGAGAUUAAGUGUGUUGUGAAAUGUAGACGCUCAACGUCUGAAUUGCAGCGCAUACUGGUUUCCUUGAGUACGCACAACGUUGGCGGAAUUCGUCGUGUAGCGGUGAAAUGCUUAGAUAUGACGAAGAACUCCGAUUGCGAAGGCAGCUGACGGGAGCGCAACUGACGCUUAAGCUCGAAGGUGCGGGUAUCAAACAGG